Molecule: ribosomal RNA, 450 nt
Filed under: uncultured bacterium
Lineage: Bacteria
Description: bacterial SSU rRNA
Rfam family: Bacterial small subunit ribosomal RNA
Source: RNAcentral
CCCAGACUCCUACGGGAGGCAGCAGUGGGGAAUAUUGGACAAUGGGGGGAACCCUGAUCCAGCGACGCCGCGUGAGUGAAGAAGUAUUUCGGUAUGUAAAGCUCUAUCAGCAGGGAAGAAAGAAAUGACGGUACCUGACUAAGAAGCCCCGGCUAACUACGUGCCAGCAGCCGCGGUAAUACGUAGGGGGCAAGCGUUAUCCGGAUUUACUGGGUGUAAAGGGAGCGCAGGCGGCCUUGCAAGUCUGAUGUGAAAGGCCGGGGCCCAACCCCGGGACUGCAUUGGAAACUGCGAGGCUGGAGUGUCGGAGAGGCAGGCGGAAUUCCUAGUGUAGCGGUGAAAUGCGUAGAUAUUAGGAGGGACACCAGUGGCGAAGGCGGCCUGCUGGACGAUGACUGACGCUGAGGCUCGAAAGCGUGGGGAGCAAACAGGAUUAGAUACCCGGAUACA